RNAcentral lists this ribosomal RNA (496 nucleotides) under uncultured Hypocreales. RNAcentral's name for it is "eukaryotic LSU rRNA". The stretch from base 138 to 291 matches the Rfam family "5.8S ribosomal RNA". Lineage: Eukaryota; Fungi; Ascomycota; Sordariomycetes; Hypocreales. The record is from RNAcentral.
UUACCGAGUUUACAACUCCCAAACCCCUGUGAACAUACCAUUUGUUACCUCGGCGGUGCCUGCUUCGGCAGCCCGCCAGAGGACCCAAACCCUUGAUUUUAUACAGUAUCUUCUGAGUAAAUGAUUAAAUAAAUCAAAACUUUCAACAACGGAUCUCUUGGUUCUGGCAUCGAUGAAGAACGCAGCGAAAUGCGAUAAGUAAUGUGAAUUGCAGAAUUCAGUGAAUCAUCGAAUCUUUGAACGCACAUUGCGCCCGCCAGUAUUCUGGCGGGCAUGCCUGUUCGAGCGUCAUUUCAACCCUCAAGCCCCCGGGCUUGGUGUUGGAGAUCGGCGUGCCCUCCGGGGCGCGCCGGCCCCCAAAUAUAGUGGCGGUCUCGCUGUAGCUUCCUCUGCGUAGUAGCACACCUCGCACUGGGAAACAGCGUGGCCACGCCGUUAAACCCCCCACUUCUGAAAGGUUGACCUCGGAUCAGGUAGGAAUACCCGCUGAACUUAA